CCAGACUCCUACGGGAGGCAGCAGUGGGGAAUAUUGCACAAUGGGGGAAACCCUGAUGCAGCGACGCCGCGUGAGUGAAGAAGUAAUUCGUUACGUAAAGCUCUAUCAGCAGGGAAGAAAAUGACGGUACCUGAGUAAGAAGCCCCGGCUAACUACGUGCCAGCAGCCGCGGUAAUACGUAGGGGGCAAGCGUUAUCCGGAUUUACUGGGUGUAAAGGGAGCGUAGACGGUUACGCAAGUCUGGAGUGAAAGGCGGGGGCCCAACCCCCGGACUGCUUUGGAAACUGUAUAACUGGAGUGCAGGAGAGGUAAGUGGAAUUCCUAGUGUAGCGGUGAAAUGCGUAGAUAUUAGGAAGAACACCAGUGGCGAAGGCGGCUUGCUGGACAGUAACUGACGUUGAGGCUCGAAAGCGUGGGGAGCAAACAGGAUUAGAUACCCCCGUAU
This 445-nucleotide ribosomal RNA is filed under the name uncultured bacterium. RNAcentral's name for it is "bacterial SSU rRNA". It matches the Rfam family "Bacterial small subunit ribosomal RNA", at positions 331 to 793 of the family's 1533-position model. The record is from RNAcentral.